AUUGAACGCUGGCGGCAUGCUUUACACAUGCAAGUCGAACGGUAACAGGCCGCAAGGUGCUGACGAGUGGCGGACGGGUGAGUAAUGCAUCGGAACGUGCCCAGUCGUGGGGGAUAACUACUCGAAAGAGUAGCUAAUACCGCAUACGAUCUAUGGAUGAAAGCGGGGGACCGUAAGGCCUCGCGCGAUUGGAGCGGCCGAUGUCAGAUUAGGUAGUUGGUGGGGUAAAGGCUCACCAAGCCAACGAUCUGUAGCUGGUCUGAGAGGACGACCAGCCACACUGGGACUGAGACACGGACAAGACUCCUACGGGAGGCAGCAGUGGGGAAUUUUGGACAAUGGGCGCAAGCCUGAUCCAGCAAUGCCGCGUGCAGGAAGAAGGCCUUCGGGUUGUAAACUGCUUUUGUACGGAACGAAACGGCUCUGGUUAAUACCCGGGGCUAAUGACGGUACCGUAAGAAUAAGCACCGGCUAACUACGUG
Molecule: ribosomal RNA, 482 nt
Filed under: uncultured bacterium
Lineage: Bacteria
Description: partial 16S ribosomal RNA
Rfam family: Bacterial small subunit ribosomal RNA
Source: RNAcentral